This 803-nucleotide ribosomal RNA is filed under the name uncultured bacterium. RNAcentral describes it as "bacterial SSU rRNA". It matches the Rfam family "Bacterial small subunit ribosomal RNA", at positions 8 to 811 of the family's 1533-position model. The record is from RNAcentral.
AGAGUUUGAUCCUGGCUCAGGAUGAACGCUGGCGGCGUGCCUAACACAUGCAAGUCGAGCGAGAAAUUAAUAAAGGAAGCUUCGGUAGAAUUUGUUAAUGGAAAGCGGCGGACGGGUGAGUAACGCGUAGGCAACCUGCCCCAUACAGAGGGAUAGCAUCUGGAAACGGAUAUUAAUACCUCAUAAUACGAUUAUGCCACAUGGUAUAUUCGUCAAAGAUUUACCGGUAUGAGAUGGACCCGCGUCUGAUUAGCUGGUUGGCGGGGUAACGGCCCACCAAGGCGACGAUCAGUAGCCGACCUGAGAGGGUGAUCGGCCACAUUGGGACUGAGACACGGCCCAAACUCCUACGGGAGGCAGCAGUGGGGGAUAUUGCACAAUGGGGGAAACCCUGAUGCAGCGACGCCGCGUGAGUGAAGAAGUAUUUCGGUAUGUAAAGCUCUAUCAGCAGGGAAGAAGAAAGACGGUACCUGACUAAGAAGCCCCGGCUAACUACGUGCCAGCAGCCGCGGUAAUACGUAGGGGGCAAGCGUUAUCCGGAUUUACUGGGUGUAAAGGGAGCGUAGACGGCAUAGCAAGUCUGAAGUGAAAGCCCCGGGCUCAACCUGGGAACUGCUUUGGAAACUGCCAUGCUAGAGUGCUGGAGAGGUAAGCGGAAUUCCUAGUGUAGCGGUGAAAUGCGUAGAUAUUAGGAGGAACACCAGUGGCGAAGGCGGCUUACUGGACAGUAACUGACGUUGAGGCUCGAAAGCGUGGGGAGCAAACAGGAUUAGAUACCCUGGUAGUCCACGCGGUAAACGAUG